AGGGAAUAUUGGUCAAUGGAUGCAAGUCUGAACCAGCCAUGCCGCGUGCAGGAAGAAGGUCUUCUGGGUCGUAAACUGCUUUUGCCAGGGGCUAAAAGGCCCAUGCGUGGGAAAUUGAAAGUACCUGGUGAAUAAGCCACGGCUAACUACGUGCCAGCAGCCGCGGUAAUACGUAGGUGGCAAGCGUUGUCCGGAUUUAUUGGGUUUAAAGGGUGCGUAGGCGGCGCCAUAAGUCAGUGCUGAAAUAUCCCGGCUUAACCGGGAGGGUGGCAUUGAUACUGUGGUGCUUGAGUGUAGUCGAGGUAGGCGGAAUUGACGGUGUAGCGGUGAAAUGCUUAGAUAUCGUCAAGAACACCGAUAGUGUAGACAGCUUACUAGGCUACAACUGACGCUGAGGCACGAAAGUGUGGGGAUCAAA
Molecule: ribosomal RNA, 418 nt
Filed under: uncultured bacterium
Lineage: Bacteria
Description: bacterial SSU rRNA
Rfam family: Bacterial small subunit ribosomal RNA
Source: RNAcentral